This 910-nucleotide ribosomal RNA is filed under the name Pseudomonas sp. PSS 6. RNAcentral describes it as "bacterial SSU rRNA". It matches the Rfam family "Bacterial small subunit ribosomal RNA", at positions 597 to 1474 of the family's 1533-position model. Lineage: Bacteria; Pseudomonadati; Pseudomonadota; Gammaproteobacteria; Pseudomonadales; Pseudomonadaceae. The record is from RNAcentral.
UCCCCCCCGGGCUCCACCCUGUGGACUGCCAUCCCAAAAUACUGAGCUUAGAGUACGGUAGAGGGGGUGGGUGGAUUUUCCUUGUUUAGCGGGUGGAAUUGGCGUAGAUAUUGGGAAGGAACACCAGGUGGGCGGAUGGCGGAUCCACCUUGACUUGAUACUUACAAUGAGGUGCGAAAAGCGUGGGGAGGCAAACCAGGAUUAGAUACCCUGGGUAGUUCCACCGCCCGUAAACGAUGUUCGACUAGGCCGUUGGGGAUCCCUUGAGAUCUUUAGUGGCGCAGCUAACGCGAUAAGUCGACCGCCUGGGGGAGUACGGCCCGCAAGGUUAAAACUCAAAAUGAAUUGACGGGGGCCCGCACAAGCGGUGGAGCAUGUGGUUUAAUUUUGAAGCAACGCGAAGAACCUUACCUGGCCUUGACAUGCUGAGAACUUUCCAGAGAUGGAUUGGUGCCUUCGGGAACUCAGACACAGGUGCUGCAUGGCUGUCGUCAGCUCGUGUCGUGAGAUGUUGGGUUAAGUCCCGUAACGAGCGCAACCCUUGUCCUUAGUUACCAGCACCUCGGGUGGGCACUCUAAGGAGACUGCCGGUGACAAACCGGAGGAAGGUGGGGAUGACGUCAAGUCAUCAUGGCCCUUACGGCCAGGGCUACACACGUGCUACAAUGGUCGGUACAAAGGGUUGCCAAGCCGCGAGGUGGAGCUAAUCCCAUAAAACCGAUCGUAGUCCGGAUCGCAGUCUGCAACUCGACUGCGUGAAGUCGGAAUCGCUAGUAAUCGUGAAUCAGAAUGUCACGGUGAAUACGUUCCCGGGCCUUGUACACACCGCCCGUCACACCAUGGGAGUGGGUUGCUCCAGAAGUAGCUAGUCUAACCGCAAGGGGGACGGUACCACGGAGUAUUUCUGUCG